GUCCGGAAUUAUUGGGCGUAAAGCGCGCGCAGGCGGCCUCUUAAGUCUGAUGUGAAAGCCCCCGGCUCAACCGGGGAGGGCCAUUGGAAACUGGGAGGCUUGAGUAUAGGAGAGAAGAGUGGAAUUCCACGUGUAGCGGUGAAAUGCGUAGAGAUGUGGAGGAACACCAGUGGCGAAGGCGACUCUUUGGCCUAUAACUGACGCUGAGGCGCGAAAGCGUGGGGAGCAAACAG
Molecule: ribosomal RNA, 233 nt
Filed under: Streptococcus pneumoniae
Lineage: Bacteria; Bacillati; Bacillota; Bacilli; Lactobacillales; Streptococcaceae
Description: partial 16S ribosomal RNA
Rfam family: Bacterial small subunit ribosomal RNA
Source: RNAcentral